RNAcentral lists this transfer RNA (72 nucleotides) under Oreochromis niloticus (Nile tilapia). It matches the Rfam family "tRNA". Rfam says of the family: Transfer RNA (tRNA) molecules are approximately 80 nucleotides in length. Their secondary structure includes four short double-helical elements and three loops (D, anti-codon, and T loops). Further hydrogen bonds mediate the characteristic L-shaped molecular structure. tRNAs have two regions of fundamental functional importance: the anti-codon, which is responsible for specific mRNA codon recognition, and the 3' end, to which the tRNAs corresponding amino acid is attached (by aminoacyl-tRNA synthetases). tRNAs cope with the degeneracy of the genetic code in two manners: having more than one tRNA (with a specific anti-codon) for a particular amino acid; and 'wobble' base-pairing, i.e. permitting non-standard base-pairing at the 3rd anti-codon position. Lineage: Eukaryota; Metazoa; Chordata; Actinopteri; Cichliformes; Cichlidae. The record is from Rfam by way of RNAcentral. RNAcentral also lists the same sequence under 1 other name.
GCUUCAUAGUGUACUGGUUAACACAUCCGCUUGGCAAGUCAUAGGUUGCUGGUCCAAUUCCAGCUGGAGACA